UCCGGGAUAGCUCAAUUGGCAGAGGUCGCGGCUGUUAACCGCGUCGUUGUAGGUACCCUACCCUUCGGGAACGCUACACGAACAAGUCCUACUCCCGGAGCCA
This 103-nucleotide transfer RNA is filed under the name Microcoleus sp. SIO2G3. RNAcentral describes it as "tRNA-Asn". Lineage: Bacteria; Bacillati; Cyanobacteriota; Cyanophyceae; Oscillatoriales; Microcoleaceae. The record is from RNAcentral.